ACAAGGUCAUGCCAUCCCAAACACACUUGGAUUCUGUGAGAGGAGGAGAGAUAGCAAAGUUAACAAAAUAUGUGAUGUUUCCCAGGGGAUUAUGGAAUGAUAUUGUUUUGUGUGAUGCAUAUUUUUCUUUUUCAUUUAUGUGUAGAAGGUUCUGAAUGACUGUUUUCUACAAUACAGAGCUGGGAGGAAGAAAUGCAUGGCUGGGGGACAAAGAUUUAUAUGCCAAAACCUGCAGGGAACUUAGUGGUGCUGACAGAGUGUGCCCAAAUGGCUGAGAUGGUGUUGGGCAGCCACCCAAGGUCAAGACCUCACCUACUGAAUCAAGGAUCGAGCAAUCAUUCAAGCCUGAGCCAUACAUGGAUCCCUCGUGGUGUGAAGGAGGUGCAGGGAAGCAGGCACUGCGCUGUGACUGCCUGGGACAACAGCCCUUCCCAGCAGCGAUCCCUCAUGUUAACUUUGGCAGAGAAUUGCACAGUUACCUCUGUGGCCUUUGUAAUGACAACCUGAUUAGCACACAGCCUCUGUCAGGGAGUGGGUGCUCAGCUCUUUGGAAGACACAUUUCCAUAGAAAAGGGUAGACAACUGAUUUCAAGAGGCUUAGCACAGCGCUGGGUGCAAGAGCUGAAAUGUACAUGAGGUACGUUGAAUAAUAUGUAUCUGUAUUUCCAUGCAAAGGCAGGUGAGCAGCAACCCAAAUGAAUUUGCUUCAUAUUCAGCACCCUCCAGAAAAGACCUGUAAAAGUAAUUAUGUGUACAUAGUAAUAAUAACUACAUAGUCCAGUAAAUAUUAAAUCUUUCCCCUAAACAUCAGAAGCUUAUCUUCCUCUUAAUGGACUUCUACUGUAAUAGUUAAAAUAAAUGUUCCUCGUCCACAGAUAUUAAAAUCA
Molecule: long non-coding RNA, 887 nt
Filed under: Parus major (Great Tit)
Lineage: Eukaryota; Metazoa; Chordata; Aves; Passeriformes; Paridae
Description: lncRNA (ENSPMJG00000002188.1)
Source: RNAcentral